Long non-coding RNA from Papaver somniferum (opium poppy), 1388 nucleotides. RefSeq lists it as uncharacterized. Lineage: Eukaryota; Viridiplantae; Streptophyta; Magnoliopsida; Ranunculales; Papaveraceae. The record is from RefSeq and is a predicted model, not a curated record. The transcript has 3 exons.
ACAAGAUGGGUUUGCAUAAUUGAAGAGUUAAUUGAUGUAUUGGGUUUGAAUUAGAGAUUGAAGACAGUUAGGGUUUAUGUGUUCUUCCCAAAAUUAUAAUUAGGGUUUCAGCGGAAUUGGUUUAGUGAACUGGCAAUUCAAAGGAAGCUAGUGAAGGGGUAAGUUUCUAUGUCGUUUAAAUUCUGUACUUAGUGUUGAAUUAUGUAUAGUCUGAUGUAGUUGAAUAAUGAGAUGAGUUUAAGGAAGCUGUUAAUACCGUUGUUGUUAUAUUUGGAUGAAUAGAUGAUUUCAAGAGAUGUGAUUGAGUAACUGUGGUUGUAGUUAGUCUGUAUUUGGGAUGAUAUAUGAAUUAUAUAUGAAUUAUAUAUCAUGAGUAACUGUGGUUGUAGUUAGUCUGUAUUUGGGAUGAUAAUUAUGUGGUUGUAGUUAGUCUGGUGGUGGGUUCCUGAGUUAAGCUAAAUGAGAUGGCGUGUUUAAUAGAUGAAUUGAGGAUUGUUUUAGAUUUGAUAGUUUAUGAAUUAUGAUCUGAGAUAACUAUGGUGGUUUACUGUUGUGUGUUAUAUGGAUUUUAGAUGAAUGUUAAGGAGAUGCGGUUACAGAUGGGUAUUUGGUGUUGAUUGAAGUUGUGUGAUUGUUAAUGGACUCAUAGUGGAGUUAGAUGAAUGGGGUGUGUGAUGGAGAUGAAAUUGUUUACCCAGUGAUGCUGUAUUGAGAUGCAAGUGAAGUUAACUGGAGUUACAGAAUUGAGGUUGGAGUUAGUAAUGAAACUGUGAUCGAAUCAGUUGUGUGUGUAUGAUGCUGAGUUUUAUGGCCUGUGAUGUUGUUGGAAGGUUAAUGAGAUGAAGUGAUAUUGACGUUAUAGUGAAAUGAGUAAUGGAAUCUGGUUGCGGUGUAAGUCUGAGAAAGUGGUGACAAUGGAAUAGAGAGUGAAGAUAUAGUUGUGUAUAUAGAUAAAGUGUGGAUUGGUACUGCAAUUCCAGGUGUUAUGGGUGAUUACAUUGAAAGUGUAGAAGCUGCAGUUUGUUUGGUGAAUGAGCUAGGUUGAUAUGUAAUGAUAGAUGUGUAUCUUGAUGAUAAUCAAUGGAAGCUUGCUUCUGCUAUAUGAAGUUAGUCUAUAUUAACAACGAUCGAUUCAAAGGACGAACCAGUGGAUCGUGGAUCUCGAGCUAGGCGUGGCUUGUCAUCAAAAGAGUUUCAGAGACAGAUCAAGAUGUGCACGUGACGAUGAAAGCUUCGGGGAUUUAAUUACGAUAGUUAGAUAGCUUCCGCUAUUUUUGAUUUGUGUUUAUAUUCUAUUUGCAAACCAAAACACUAAUGUAUAUGUAUCAUUUGAGAGGAGUUUUUGUAUUUAUAUAUCUCAGAGUGGGGCUAGUUUUUGGGUUAAGUUU